AGAGUUUGAUCCUGGCUCAGAAUCAACGCUGGCGGCGUGCCUAACACAUGCAAGUCGAACGAGAAAGCCGACUUCGGUUGGUGAGUAAAGUGGCGAACGGGUGAGUAACGCGUGGGUAAUCUGCCCAUUGGUUGGGGGAUAACUUGCCGAAAGGUGAGCUAAUACCGCAUAAGCUCUACGGAGGAAAGCCUUCGGGCGCCGAUGGAGGAGCCCGCGUCCGAUUAGCUGGUUGGUAGGGUAAGAGCCUACCAAGGCGACGAUUGGUAGCCGGUCUGAGAGGACGGACGGCCACACUGGGACUGAGACACGGCCCAGACUCCUACGGGAGGCAGCAGUGGGGAAUUUUGGGCAAUGGGCGCAAGCCUGACCCAGCAACGCCGCGUGGAGGAUGAAGGUUUUCGGAUCGUAAACUCCUGUCCAGAGGGACGAAGCAAGUGACGGUACCUCUGGAGGAAGCCCCGGCUAACUCCGUGCCAGCAGCCGCGGUAAUACGGGGGGGGCCAGCGUUGUUCGGAAUUACUGGGCGUAAAGGGCGCGUAGGCGGCUUCGGAAGUCAUGGGUGAAAGCCCCGGGCUCAACUCGGGAAUAGCCUGUGAAACCACGGAGCUGGAGUGCUGGAGAGGAAAGCGGAAUUCCCAGUGUAGCGGUGAAAUGCGUAGAUAUUGGGAGGAACACCUGUGGCGAAGGCGGCUUUCUGGACAGACACUGACGCUGAGGCGCGAAAGCCAGGGGAGCGAACGGGAUUAGAUACCCCGGUAGUCCUGGCUGUAAACGAUGAACACUUGGUGUGGGGGGUAUUGAUUCCCUCUGUGCCGGCGAAAACUCAUUAAGUGUUCCGCCUGGGGAGUACGGCCGCAAGGCUGAAACUCAAAGGAAUUGACGGGGGCCCGCACAAGCGGUGGAGCAUGUGGUUUAAUUCGACGCAACGCGAAGAACCUUACCGGGGUUUGAACCGGCCGGGCGACCUGCAGAGAUGUGGGGUUCCUUUCGGGGACUCGGCUGGAGGUGCUGCAUGGCUGUCGUCAGCUCGUGUCGUGAGAUGUUGGGUUAAGUCCCGCAACGAGCGCAACCCUUGUCUGUAGUUGCCACCAGGUUAAGCUGGGCACUCUACGGAGACUGUCGGCGAAAAGCCGGAGGAAGGUGGGGAUGACGUCAAGUCCUCAUGGCCUUUAUGUCCCGGGCUACACACGUGCUACAAUGGGCGGUACAGAGGGCAGCGACCCUGCAAAGGCAAGCGAAUCCCAGAAAACCGCUCUCAGUUCGGAUUGCAGUCUGCAACUCGACUGCAUGAAGUUGGAAUCGCUAGUAAUCGCGGAUCAGAACGCCGCGGUGAAUACGUUCCCGGGCCUUGUACACACCGCCCGUCACAUCACGAAAGUGGGCUGUACUAGAAGCCGCCGGCCUAACCCUUCGGGGAGGGAGGCGUCGACGGUAUGGCUCAUGAUUGGGGUGAAGUCGUAACAAGGUAACC
RNAcentral lists this ribosomal RNA (1471 nucleotides) under uncultured organism. RNAcentral describes it as "bacterial SSU rRNA". It matches the Rfam family "Bacterial small subunit ribosomal RNA". The record is from RNAcentral.